This 520-nucleotide ribosomal RNA is filed under the name uncultured bacterium. Its description in RNAcentral is "partial 16S ribosomal RNA". It matches the Rfam family "Bacterial small subunit ribosomal RNA", at positions 28 to 507 of the family's 1533-position model. The record is from RNAcentral.
GACGAACGCUGGCGGCGUGCCUAAUACAUGCAAGUCGAACGCACUCUCGUUUAGAUUGAAGGAGUUUGCUCCUGAUUGAUAAACAUUUGAGUGAGUGGCGGACGGGUGAGUAACACGUGGGUAACCUGCCCUAAAGUGGGGGAUAACAUUUGGAAACAGAUGCUAAUACCGCAUAAAACCUAACACCGCAUGGUGUAGGGUUGAAAGAUGGUUUCGGCUAUCACUUUAGGAUGGACCCGCGGUGCAUUAGUUAGUUGGUGAGGUAAAGGCUCACCAAGACCGUGAUGCAUAGCCGACCUGAGAGGGUAAUCGGCCACACUGGGACUGAGACACGGCCCAGACUCCUACGGGAGGCAGCAGUAGGGAAUCUUCCACAAUGGACGAAAGUCUGAUGGAGCAACGCCGCGUGAGUGAAGAAGGUUUUCGGAUCGUAAAACUCUGUUGUUGGAGAAGAAUGUAUCUGAUAGUAACUGAUCAGGUAGUGACGGUAUCAAACCAGAAAGCCACGGCUAACUACGUG